GAUGAAGAACGCAGCGAAAUGCGAUACUUGGUGUGAAUUGCAGAAUCCCGUGAACCAUCGAGUCUUUGAACGCAAGUUGCGCCCGAAGCCAUUAGGCCGAGGGCACGCCUGCCUGGGCGUCACACGUCGUUGCCCCCCCAUCUACUCCUUCGGGAUUGCGGGGGGCGGAUGAUGGCCUCCCGUGCGCCUAGUCGCGCGGUUGGCAUAAAAUCCAAGUCCUCGGCGACGCACGCCACGACAAUCGGUGGUUGCGAAACCUCGGUUGCCCGUCGUGUGCGGUCGUCGCGCAUCGAGGGCUCGAAAAAAUUGCCGGGCUCCGGCUCGGCUUUCAACGCGACCCCAGGUCAGGCGGGGUUACCCGCUGAAUUUAAGCAUAUCAAUAAGCGGAGGA
Molecule: unclassified non-coding RNA, 391 nt
Filed under: soil metagenome
Description: partial contains 5.8S ribosomal RNA, internal transcribed spacer 2, and large subunit ribosomal RNA
Rfam family: 5.8S ribosomal RNA (bases 1-122)
Source: RNAcentral